This 1240-nucleotide ribosomal RNA is filed under the name Agrococcus jenensis. RNAcentral describes it as "bacterial SSU rRNA". It matches the Rfam family "Bacterial small subunit ribosomal RNA", at positions 94 to 1332 of the family's 1533-position model. The record is from RNAcentral. Lineage: Bacteria; Bacillati; Actinomycetota; Actinomycetes; Micrococcales; Microbacteriaceae.
AGUGGCGAAGGGUGAGUAACACGUGAGCAAUGUGCCCUUGACUCUGGAAUAAGCGCUGGAAACGGCGUCUAAUACCGGAUACGACCUUCGGAGGCAUCUCCUGGGGGUGGAAAGAACUUCGGUCAAGGAUCAGCUCACGGCCUAUCAGUUAGUUGGUGAGGUAAUGGCUCACCAAGACGACGACGGGUAGCCGGCCUGAGAGGGUGACCGGCCACACUGGGACUGAGACACGGCCCAGACUCCUACGGGAGGCAGCAGUGGGGAAUAUUGCACAAUGGGCGCAAGCCUGAUGCAGCAACGCCGCGUGAGGGACGACGGCCUUCGGGUUGUAAACCUCUUUUAGCAGGGAAGAAGCGAAAGUGACGGUACCUGCAGAAAAAGCACCGGCUAACUACGUGCCAGCAGCCGCGGUAAUACGUAGGGUGCAAGCGUUGUCCGGAAUUAUUGGGCGUAAAGAGCUCGUAGGCGGUUUGUCACGUCUGCUGUGAAAUCCCGAGGCUCAACCUCGGGCUUGCAGUGGGUACGGGCAGACUAGAGUGCGGUAGGGGAGAUUGGAAUUCCUGGUGUAGCGGUGGAAUGCGCAGAUAUCAGGAGGAACACCGAUGGCGAAGGCAGAUCUCUGGGCCGUAACUGACGCUGAGGAGCGAAAGCAUGGGGAGCAAACAGGCUUAGAUACCCUGGUAGUCCAUGCCGUAAACGUUGGGAACUAGAUGUGGGGACCAUUCCACGGUCUCCGUGUCGUAGCUAACGCAUUAAGUUCCCCGCCUGGGGAGUACGGCCGCAAGGCUAAAACUCAAAGGAAUUGACGGGGGCCCGCACAAGCGGCGGAGCAUGCGGAUUAAUUCGAUGCAACGCGAAGAACCUUACCAAGGCUUGACAUAUACGAGAACGCACUGGAGACAGUGAACUCUUUGGACACUCGUAUACAGGUGGGUGCAUGGUUGUCGCCAGCUCCGGCCCUGAAAAUGUUGGGUUAAAGUGCCGCAACGAGCGCCAACCCUCUGUCCUAUGUUGCCAGCACGUAAUGGUGGGAACUCUUGUGAUACUGCCGGGGUCAACUCUGAGGAAGGUGGGGAUGAGGUCAAAUCAUCAUGCAUCCUUAUGUCGUGUGGGCUUCAGCUGCACUGCGUACAAUGGCCGGUAUCAAUGCGGCUGCAAUAUCCAGUAAGGUGGAGCGAAUCCCAAAAAGCCGGUCUCAGUUGAGAUUGAGGUCUGCAGCUCGACCUCAUGAAGUCGGAGU